This 466-nucleotide ribosomal RNA is filed under the name uncultured bacterium. Its description in RNAcentral is "partial 16S ribosomal RNA". It matches the Rfam family "Bacterial small subunit ribosomal RNA", at positions 28 to 507 of the family's 1533-position model. The record is from RNAcentral.
GACGAACGCUGGCGGCGUGCUUAACACAUGCAAGUCGAACGGUAAGGCCCCUUCGGGGGUACACGAGUGGCGAACGGGGUGAGUAACACGUGAGCAACCUGCCCUUGACUCUGGAAUAACAGUUGGAAACAGCUGCUAAUACUGGAUAUUCAUCGUCUCCUUCCUGGGGGGUGGUGGAAAGCUCCGGCGGUCAGGGAUGGGCUCGCGGCCUAUCAGCUUGUUGGUGAGGUAAUGGCUCACCAAGGCUUCGACGGGUAGCCGGCCUGAGAGGGCGACCGGCCACACUGGGACUGAGAUACGGCCCAGACUCCUACGGGAGGCAGCAGUGGGGAAUAUUGCACAAUGGGCGCAAGCCUGAUGCAGCAACGCCGCGUGCGGGAUGACGGCCUUCGGGUUGUAAACCGCUUUCAGUAGGGACGAAGGGUGACUGACGGUACCUACAGAAGAAGGACCGGCUAACUACGUG